AUUGAACGCUGGCGGCAUGCCUUACACAUGCAAGUCGAACGGCAGCACGGGUGCUUGCACCUGGUGGCGAGUGGCGAACGGGUGAGUAAUACAUCGGAACAUGUCCUGUAGUGGGGGAUAGCCCGGCGAAAGCCGGAUUAAUACCGCAUACGAUCCACGGAUGAAAGCGGGGGACCUUCGGGCCUCGCGCUAUCGGGUUGGCCGAUGGCUGAUUAGCUAGUUGGUGGGGUAAAGGCCUACCAAGGCGACGAUCAGUAGCUGGUCUGAGAGGACGACCAGCCACACUGGGACUGAGACACGGCCCAGACUCCUACGGGAGGCAGCAGUGGGGAAUUUUGGACAAAGGGCGAAAGCCUGAUCCAGCAAUGCCGCGUGUGUGAAGAAGGACUUCGGGUUGUAAAGCACUUUUGUCCGGAAAGAAAUCCUUGACUCUAAUACAGUCGGGGGAUGACGGUACCGGAAGAAUAAGCACCGGCUAACUACGUG
RNAcentral lists this ribosomal RNA (486 nucleotides) under uncultured bacterium. RNAcentral describes it as "partial 16S ribosomal RNA". It matches the Rfam family "Bacterial small subunit ribosomal RNA", at positions 30 to 507 of the family's 1533-position model. The record is from RNAcentral.